AUGAGGAGCCGUGCAAGCACAAGCAGAAGCAGGGGUGGAGGAGUGAAGUACUGUGGCCUAUGGGCAGCGGCCAUCGCCUCUGUUCUUCUCGCCAUCUUGCUUGCCUCCACCACACACCUCCCUGCUUCGCCCACCGAUCCUCUGGUACAAGGCCGCCGCCGGCGGAGGCAGUGCGACGAGGAGGCCAGAUGGGUGGCCGGCAUCGCGUCCCAGCUCAACGCCACCCUCGUCCUGACCGUCGACCACCUCGGCUGCGGCAACUUCAGCAGCGUGCAGAAGGCGGUGGACGCGGUGCCUGACCACGGCGCGGCCGGCGGGCGUACGCUGCUGGCCGUGGGCGCCGGCAUCUUCCGGGAGAAGGUGGUGGUGUGGGGCAACAAGACGGGCGUGACGCUGCACGGCCGCGGCAACCUCAACAGCACCGUGGCGUGGAACGACACCGCCGCCUCCAGCGCCGGCAGCACCCCGUCCAGCGCGACCUUCACCGUCCUCGCCGCCGGCUUCGUCGCCUACAACAUCAGCUUCCAGAACACGGCGCCUCCGGCGGACCCGGGCGCCAGCGGAGGGCAGGCGGUGGCGCUGCGCGUGGCCGGCGACCAGGCAGCGUUCCACUGGUGCGGCGUCUACGGCGCGCAGGACACGCUGCUGGACGAGCAGGGGCGGCACGUCUUCCGCGGCUGCUACGUCGAGGGCUCCAUCGACUUCAUCUUCGGCAACGCCCGGUCCCUCUACCUCAACUGCACCAUCAGCUCCGUCGCGGCGGCCACCGGCAAUGGCGGCGGCGUGACGGGGAGCAUCACGGCGCAGGGGCGCGGGUCGGCGUCGGAAAAAACAGGGUUCGCGUUCGUCGGGUGCAGCGUGGUGGGGACGGGGAAGGUGUGGCUGGGGCGGGCGUGGGGGCCCUACGCCACGGUGGUGUUCGCGAGGACGUACCUCGCCGCCGGCGUCGUGGCGCCGGAGGGGUGGAACGACUGGAACGAUCCGGCCAGGCGGCAGACGGUGUUCUUCGGGGAGUACGAGAGCACGGGGCCCGGGGCGUGCAGGGACGGGAGGGUGCCGUACGCGCGGCAGCUGGAUCGCCGGCAGGCCGCGCCCUUCAUGGACGUCUCCUACAUCGACGGCGACCAGUGGGCGGUGCCACCACUGCCAGUAGUACUAACACUGCCCCGGCAGCACGGCGGAGACGAUUCAGAUCAUGCACCACGGGGAGAAGUAAUGUAG
RNAcentral lists this ribosomal RNA (1221 nucleotides) under Triticum aestivum (bread wheat). Its description in RNAcentral is "partial small subunit ribosomal RNA". Lineage: Eukaryota; Viridiplantae; Streptophyta; Magnoliopsida; Poales; Poaceae. The record is from RNAcentral.